UCCCAGCAGUCCGAGUCGCAGCCACAUUUGUUGGGUCUAAAACAUCCGUAGCUUGCCUUGUAAGUCUUUUGUCAAAUCGAACCUCUUAAGGGUUCGGCGAGCAAGAGAUACUGCUUGGCUAGAGACCGGGAGACGUGAGGAGUACAAUCGGAGUAGCGGUAAAAUGCGUUGAUCCUGAUUGGACUAACAAUAGCGAAGGCACCUCACGAUAACGGUUCUGACAGUAAGGGAUGAAGGCUAGGGGC
This 245-nucleotide ribosomal RNA is filed under the name uncultured archaeon. Its description in RNAcentral is "partial 16S ribosomal RNA". It matches the Rfam family "Archaeal small subunit ribosomal RNA", at positions 474 to 718 of the family's 1478-position model. The record is from RNAcentral.